This 254-nucleotide unclassified non-coding RNA is filed under the name uncultured Acidimicrobiia bacterium. Its description in RNAcentral is "contains 16S-23S intergenic spacer region". It matches the Rfam family "Bacterial small subunit ribosomal RNA", at positions 524 to 776 of the family's 1533-position model. Lineage: Bacteria; Bacillati; Actinomycetota; Acidimicrobiia. The record is from RNAcentral.
UACGUAGGUGGCAAGCGUUGUCCGGGUUUAUUGGGCGUAAAGAGCGCGUAGGCGGCCUGGUAAGUCGGAUGUGAAAUCUCCGAGCUCAACUCGGAGACGCCAUUCGAUACUGCUAUGGCUAGAGUCCGGUAGAGGAGUGUGGAAUUCCCGGUGUAGCGGUGAAAUGCGCAGAUAUCGGGAGGAACACCGAUGGCGAAGGCAGCACUCUGGGCCGGCACUGACGCUGAGGCGCGAAAGCGUGGGGAGCAAACAGG